GGAUUAUUCUAAGAUCAAAUUAAUAAACAAAUAAAAUGAAGACUAAAAUUCUAUCCCAUCUUACGAAAUUCUACCACACCAAAUAAACAAAGUCAAUAUCAAAAACCCAAUUGAAAAUUCAUAUUCAAGUAUUAUGUACAUGAAAUUUUCUAUAAGAAAACCCUAGUUUUGGAGCACCAAGCGUUUGGCACAAACAGAGCAAUAGUACCUCCUCUUGGUCUUGAAGUAUAGAGGCAAGAAACAGAACCUCCACUGGCUUUCUACAUCCAUGGCCUGAAUCAUCCCUCCACAGUAAGGACACGCUCCAGGCGCUACCUGUCUCCCUAUCACCCUCUCAUCUUCAUCGCAAACAAACACUAAACACAUCUCUGAUAUUUCCCCUUGAUUUCUUGACUUGUUGCACAACCUCCACUCAGAUCACAAAAUCAACACACCUCUCGACGAUCGCUGACUCAAUUGCUUGAUUUCUUGCUCGCCCUCAGAUAAGAGGAUCAAUUCGCUAAGAAGGUUAUUUGGGUAUUUAUAGAGAGAGAAAGAGUCUAGAGAGGUAUAGCUUAAACUGGAAGGAAGAAGGAACAAGACAA
RNAcentral lists this unclassified non-coding RNA (584 nucleotides) under Hevea brasiliensis (rubber tree). Lineage: Eukaryota; Viridiplantae; Streptophyta; Magnoliopsida; Malpighiales; Euphorbiaceae. The record is from RNAcentral.